UACGUAGGGUGCGAGCGUUGUCCGGAAUUAUUGGGCGUAAAGAGCUUGUAGGCGGUUUGUCGCGUCUGCCGUGAAAUUUCGAGGCUCAACCUCGAACUUGCGGUGGGUAUGGGCAGACUAGAGUGUGGUAGGGGAGACUGGAAUUCCUGGUGUAGCGGUGAAAUGCGCAGAUAUCAGGAGGAACACCGAUGGCGAAGGCAGGUCUCUGGGCCACUACUGACGCUGAGAAGCGGAAAGCAUGGGGGAGCGAACAGG
This 255-nucleotide ribosomal RNA is filed under the name uncultured bacterium. RNAcentral describes it as "partial 16S ribosomal RNA". It matches the Rfam family "Bacterial small subunit ribosomal RNA", at positions 524 to 776 of the family's 1533-position model. The record is from RNAcentral.